This 389-nucleotide ribosomal RNA is filed under the name Biecheleria sp. Its description in RNAcentral is "partial small subunit ribosomal RNA". It matches the Rfam family "Eukaryotic small subunit ribosomal RNA", at positions 582 to 975 of the family's 1831-position model. Lineage: Eukaryota; Dinophyceae; Suessiales; Biecheleriaceae. The record is from RNAcentral.
AUUCCAGCUCCAAUAGCGUAUAUUAAAGUUGUUGCGGUUAAAAAGCUCGUAGUUGGAUUUCUGCCGAGGAUGACCGGUCCGCCCUGUGGGUGUGCAUCUGGCUCAGCCUUGGCAUCUUCCUGAAGAACGUAGCUGCACUUGACUGUGUGGUGCGGUAUUUAGGACAUUUACUUUGAGGAAAUUAGAGUGUUUCAAGCAAGCGCACGCUUUGAAUACAUUAGCAUGGAAUAAUAAGAUAGGACCUCGGUUCUAUUUUGUUGGUUUCUAGAGCUGAGGUAAUGAUUGAUAGGGAUAGUUGGGGGCACUCGUAUUUAACUGUCAGAGGUGAAAUUCUUGGAUUUAUGGAAGACGAACUACUGCGAAAGCAUUUACCAAGGAUGUUCUCAUUG